Molecule: ribosomal RNA, 487 nt
Filed under: uncultured bacterium
Lineage: Bacteria
Description: bacterial SSU rRNA
Rfam family: Bacterial small subunit ribosomal RNA
Source: RNAcentral
UAGUCCACGCCGUAAACGAUGUCAACUAGCUGUUGGGAUUUAUCUUAGUAGCGAAGCUAACGCGAUAAGUUGACCGCCUGGGGAGUACGCGCGCAAGCGUAAAACUCAAAGGAAUUGACGGGGCCCGCACAAGCGGUGGAGCAUGUGGUUUAAUUCGAUGAUACGCGAGGAACCUUACCAGGGCUUAAAUGUAAGUUGCAUUAGUUAGAGAUAGCUAUUUCUUCGGACUACUUACAAGGUGUUGCAUGGUUGUCGUCAGCUCGUGCCGUGAGGUGUCAGGUUAAGUCCUAUAACGAGCGCAACCCCUAUCGUUAGUUGCUAACAGGUUAAGUUGAGGACUCUAGCGAGACUGCCGGUGCAAACCGAGAGGAAGGUGGGGAUGACGUCAAAUCAUCACGGGCCCUUACGUCCUGGGGCUACACACGUGCUACAAUGGUCGGUACAGAGGGGCAGCCACUACGCGAGUAGGAGCGAAUCCUUAAAACCG